UGCGGGUUGGAGAAGUAGUAUCUCAUCGGACUCAUUAUCCGAAGAACGCAGCGUGCAAAUCCUGCACCCGCAACCA
This 76-nucleotide transfer RNA is filed under the name Caudoviricetes sp. Its description in RNAcentral is "tRNA-Met". It matches the Rfam family "tRNA". From Rfam's summary of the family: Transfer RNA (tRNA) molecules are approximately 80 nucleotides in length. Their secondary structure includes four short double-helical elements and three loops (D, anti-codon, and T loops). The record is from RNAcentral. Lineage: Duplodnaviria; Heunggongvirae; Uroviricota; Caudoviricetes.